UACGUAGGGGGCAAGCGUUGUCCGGAUUUAUUGGGCUUAAAGAGCGUGUAGGCGGCUUUACAGGUCCGUUGUGAAAACUCGAGGCUCAACCUCGAGCUGUCGGUGGAAACUGUGUGGCUAGAGUCCGGAAGAGGAGAGUGGAAUUCCCGGUGUAGCGGUGAAAUGCGCAGAUAUCGGGAAGAACACCCGUGGCGAAGGCGGCUCGCUGGGCCGGUACUGACGCUGAGACGCGAAAGCGUGGGGAGCGAACAGG
RNAcentral lists this ribosomal RNA (253 nucleotides) under uncultured bacterium. Its description in RNAcentral is "partial 16S ribosomal RNA". It matches the Rfam family "Bacterial small subunit ribosomal RNA", at positions 524 to 776 of the family's 1533-position model. The record is from RNAcentral.